RNAcentral lists this ribosomal RNA (2559 nucleotides) under Triticum aestivum (bread wheat). Its description in RNAcentral is "partial small subunit ribosomal RNA". Lineage: Eukaryota; Viridiplantae; Streptophyta; Magnoliopsida; Poales; Poaceae. The record is from RNAcentral.
AUGCCUAGCCGGGUGGGCGCUGACGACACCGGGGGCGGCCCCGGAGUGGGGGAGAUCGUGGAGGCCAGCAGCGGCGCGCGCGAGAGGGACGUGCCUCCGGGGAAUCGUUCCGCGACGCGGAAGACCGCGCGGUUCGUGGAGCCCAUGCCGGCGCCGCGCGGGGGCGGCCCGAGCCGCCUCGACAGGUCCAUGUCGUCCGUCCCCGCGCUCGCGCUCGAGGGUCUCAAGUUCAUCAGCGAGACUGACGCUUCCAAAGGAUGGACCAGCGCCGCCGGGUUCUUCGACAGUAACGCCCAGAAUGACCUCCUCCCCCGGUCCAUGUUCGGCGAGUGCAUCGGUAUGAAAGAGGUCGCGUUCGCCGGCGAGCUGUUUGACACGCUGGCAAGGCGGCGGGGCAUCUCCGGGGACAGCAUCGACAAGGCGGAGCUGCGUGAGUUCUGGGAUCAAAUUUCAGACCCCAGCUUCAAGAGCCGCCUGCAGCUCUUCUUCGACAUGAUGGACAAGAACGCUGACGGGAAGAUCAGCGAGGCGGAGGUCAAACAGAUCAUCACGUUGAGCGCGUCGGCGAACCAUCUAACAAUAACCGCACAACAGUCCGAGGAGUAUGACAAGCUCAUCAUGGAGGAGUUGGACCCCCACGGCCAUGGCUACAUCGAGCUGCACAGCUUGGAGAUGCUAUUACUGAAGCCGUUAAGCGAGACGAUGACCAAGGGCGGUAAAGUGGCGGAACCCAAUUGGCACAAGCAGUUGUACCGCCGCGCCCGAUACUUCUUGAAGGACAAUUGGCGCCGCUGCUGGGUGAUGCUCCUGUGGCUAUCCAUCUGCACGGGGCUAUUCACUUGGAAGUUCAUGCAGUACCGCCACCGCGUUGUGUUCAAGGUGAUGGGCUACUGCGUGUGUGUGGCCAAGGGUGGCGCCGAGACACUCAAGUUCAACAUGGCGCUCACUCUCCUUCCCAUGUGCCGCAACGCCGUCACGUGGCUUCGGAGCCGCACCACGCUCGGACGGUUUGUGCCAUUUAACGACAACCUCAACUUCCACAAGGUGAUCGCUGUGGGGAUUUCUGUCGGCGCCGGGCUUCAUAUCAUCUCUCACCUGACGUGCGACUUCCCGAGGCUGGUGCACGCCACCGAUGAUGAGUAUGAGCCCAUGAAGCCAUUCUUCGGCGACGUGAAGCCACCCAACUAUUGGUGGUUCUUGAAGGGCACAGAAGGGUGGACCGGGCUAGUGAUGUUGGUGCUUAUGGCCAUCACCUUUACACUCGCCACGGGGCGGUUCCGCAAAAGAGAGCUCCGACGCCCCAAGCCAAAGAAGUCUAAGAGCCUCGUUGAGUCCAAGAACCCAAAUAGCCUUCCCGGGCUGCUCGGCCGCCUCACCCGGUCCGUGAGUGCCUCGCACAACCGCCUCACUAUGAUCAUCAACGCCUUGUUCAAUCGCUUCACUGGGUACAAUGCCUUCUUGUACACACACCAUCUGUUCGUCAUCGUCUACGCGCUGCUCAUCGUCCACGGGCACUUCCUCUACCUCACCAAGAAGUGGCAAAAGAAGACGACGUGGAUGUACCUGACAGUGCCAAUUGUCGUGUACGCGUGCGAACGACUGACACGAACACUGCGAUCGAGGGUGCGGUUGGUGGAGAAGAUCAAGGUGGCCGUGCACCCGCACCCCGCAAGCCUGCUGUCCCUGCACAUGUCCAAGCCUGAGGGGUUCAGGUUCAAGGGCGGACAAUACAUCUUCAUCAAAUGCCCAGGCGUCUCAAAAUUUGAGUGGCACCCGUUCUCCAUCACAUCGGCGCCAGAGGAUGACUGUGUCAACGUCCACAUCAAGGCGCUUGGUGACUGGACCGAAGACCUCAGGGACGCCUUCCUUAAGGUUUGCCCGAACACGGAGGGGAAGAACGAGAUUCGCCAGGUAGAGUAUGACCGCGACGACGCCAAGUCCGACCCAAGUUCGCCCCACCUCAAAAAUAAUCCGUCCUCCGCCACUGACAAGCAGUACGAUGUUGUGCUACUGGUGGGACUCGGCAUCGGCGCCACGCCCAUGAUCUCGAUCAUCAAGGACAUCAUCAACAACACGAAGCGGCUCGGGGACAUCGAGUCUGUCAACCCCGUCCCCGGCGACGCAAGCCCGUCGGCGUCGUUCAAGACUCGCCGUGCCUACUUCUACUGGACCACCAGGGAGCAAGGCUCCUUCGAGUGGUUCCGUGGGAUCAUGGACGAGGUGGCCGAGACGGACGAGGAUGGCAUCAUCAAGCUCCACACCCACUGCACCAGCGUCCACAAGGAGGGCGACGCCCGGUCGGCGCCCCUCACCAUUCUCCAGUCGCUGUACUAUGCCAAGCACGGCAUUGACAUCAUCUCCGGCAGUCGAGUCAAGACCACCUUCGGGCGAGCAAACUGGCGUGAGGCCUACGAGCGCAUCGCUCAGGAGAAUCAAGGAAAACGCGUCGGAGUGUUCUACUGCGGCAUGCCGACACUGACAAAUGAAUUGCGCUAUCUUGCAAAGGAUCUCUCGAGAAAAACAAGGACACAAUUCGAGUUCCACAAGGAGAACUUCUAG